Molecule: ribosomal RNA, 255 nt
Filed under: Enterobacter hormaechei
Lineage: Bacteria; Pseudomonadati; Pseudomonadota; Gammaproteobacteria; Enterobacterales; Enterobacteriaceae
Description: partial 16S ribosomal RNA
Rfam family: Bacterial small subunit ribosomal RNA
Source: RNAcentral
GCAGAGAUGCUUUGGUGCCUUCGGGAACUCUGAGACAGGUGCUGCAUGGCUGUCGUCAGCUCGUGUUGUGAAAUGUUGGGUUAAGUCCCGCAACGAGCGCAACCCUUAUCCUUUGUUGCCAGCGGUCCGGCCGGGAACUCAAAGGAGACUGCCAGUGAUAAACUGGAGGAAGGUGGGGAUGACGUCAAGUCAUCAUGGCCCUUACGAGUAGGGCUACACACGUGCUACAAUGGCGCAUACAAAGAGAAGCGACCU